RNAcentral lists this ribosomal RNA (356 nucleotides) under uncultured bacterium. Its description in RNAcentral is "bacterial SSU rRNA". It matches the Rfam family "Bacterial small subunit ribosomal RNA", at positions 1 to 334 of the family's 1533-position model. The record is from RNAcentral.
GUGAGUAGUUCAGAGUUUGAUCCUGGCUCAGGAUGAACGCUGGCGGCGUGCUUAACACAUGCAAGUCGAACGGAGCGCUUAUGACGGAGUUUUCGGACAACUGAUUAAGUUGCUUAGUGGCGGACGGGUGAGUAACGCGUGAGGAACCUGCCUUGGAGUGGGGAAUAACACAGAGAAAUUUGUGCUAAUACCGCAUAAUGCAAUUGAGUCGCAUGGCUCUGAUUGCCAAAGAUUUAUCGCUCUAAGAUGGCCUCGCGUCUGAUUAGCUAGUUGGUGGGGUAACGGCCUACCAAGGCGACGAUCAGUAGCCGGACUGAGAGGUUGACCGGCCACAUUGGGACUGAGACACGGCCCAG